RNAcentral lists this ribosomal RNA (253 nucleotides) under uncultured bacterium. RNAcentral's name for it is "partial 16S ribosomal RNA". It matches the Rfam family "Bacterial small subunit ribosomal RNA", at positions 524 to 776 of the family's 1533-position model. The record is from RNAcentral.
UACGUAGGGCGCAAGCGUUAUCCGGAAUUAUUGGGCGUAAAGAGCUCGUAGGCGGUUUGUCGCGUCUGCCGUGAAAGUCCGGGGCUCAACUCCGGAUCUGCGGUGGGUACGGGCAGACUAGAGUGAUGUAGGGGAGACUGGAAUCCCUGGUGUAGCGGUGAAAUGCGCAGAUAUCAGGAGGAACACCAGUGGCGAAGGCGACGUGCUGGGUUGCACCUGACGCUGAGAUGCGAAAGUGUGGGGAGCAAACGGG